Molecule: long non-coding RNA, 533 nt
Filed under: Malus domestica (apple)
Lineage: Eukaryota; Viridiplantae; Streptophyta; Magnoliopsida; Rosales; Rosaceae
Description: long non-coding RNA (MDOM_LNC007901)
Source: RNAcentral
GUACUUCUGCUCCUCGCUCCUCCCAUAACUGGGCUUCUCGUACUCCCCACUUUCCUGGCCCUCAUAGCUGGGCCUCUCAUAGCUAGGCCUCGGGGGUGGCGGCUCAUCUCCAUAACCGGUCAUCCUCGGCGGUGGUGGCUCAUCUCCAUAACCGGUCAUCCUCGGCGGUGGCGGCUCAUCUCCAUACCCGGUCCUCCUCGGCGGUGGCGGCUCAUCUCCAUAGCCAGUCCUCCUCGGCGGUGGCGGCUCAUCUCCAUAGCCGGUCCUCCUAGGCGGUGGCGGCUCAUCUCCAUAGCCGGUCCUCCUCGGCGGCUCUUCGCCGUGACCUGGCCUCUCAAACUCAGAACUCCCAUAGCUCGGCCUCUCCUCGCUUUCUGGCGUCUCAUAGCUCGGCCGCCCAUAGCUUGGCCUUCUCGGCGGCUCUUCGCCAUAACUACCCUCCUCACCAUAGCUCGGCUUUCUCGGUGGCUCUUCGCCAUAACCAGAUUCCUCACCGUAGCUCGGCUUCCGACCAUACCCAGAUCCGAAUUCAG